AUACGUAGGUGGCGAGCGUUGUCCGGAUUUACUGGGCGUAAAGGAUGCGUAGGUGGAAACUUAAGUGGGAUGUGAAACUCCCCGGGCUCAACCCGGGAACUGCAUUCCAAACUGGGUUACUUGAGUGCAGGAGAGGAAAGCGGAAUUCCUAGUGUAGCGGUGAAAUGCGUAGAUAUUAGGAAGAACACCAGUGGCGAAGGCGGUCUUUCUGGACUGUAACUGACACUGAGGCAUGAAAGCGUGGGGAGC
RNAcentral lists this ribosomal RNA (249 nucleotides) under uncultured bacterium. RNAcentral describes it as "partial 16S ribosomal RNA". It matches the Rfam family "Bacterial small subunit ribosomal RNA", at positions 523 to 769 of the family's 1533-position model. The record is from RNAcentral.